GGAACUGGCUCAGUUGGUAGAGUGCCUGCCUCGCGUCACGAGGCCCUGGGUUCCAUCCCCAGCACCA
This 67-nucleotide transfer RNA is filed under the name Marmota monax (woodchuck). RNAcentral's name for it is "tRNA.Undet". Lineage: Eukaryota; Metazoa; Chordata; Mammalia; Rodentia; Sciuridae. The record is from RNAcentral.